UGUCACCUCUUUCUGGGUGUCUCUCUCUCCAGGGAGGGCGUUCAGCAAGCCUGGCACUCACCCCCACCGUGAUCAGAGCCGGCGAGGAUUGUCAUCACGCUGUCCAAGCUUGACGGUGCCACUUCAGAGAGAAGAUGCCAUCAGAGGCAGGGCCAUUAUCCAUGACACUGACACGCUCCGCUCUUAAAGGAAAAACACCAGUGCGUGCAACAGGAAGCCCAGAACUCCUACAUUGUUAUUUCAUCCACUUGGAGGAUUCCCCACCAAGCAUGUGACGAGACAGUCCCAUGUGCACAUCCCAGAACUCUACAUCAGGUGCUGGGAGAGGGAGUUUGUUAUUACAGAAGACCAGCUGGGACCUCGCCUAGCAGCUGGGACCCCGGACAACUGCCUAGUGACUGGUGACCGGGUGACCAGGAGGCCUACCCCAGCUUGGCAGUCAGCCGGCUCUGGCCAGUGGGAGGACAAAGGGCCGAGGAUAGAGGACCCCAGUGACCUGACCAGCCAGUUCCAGCCAGAGGGAAACAAAGGACGGAAGACAGAGGGCUCCAGCGACCUCUUAAUUGAGCUGUUGUGGCCGGUGAUAUGGGAUGAUCAGCUGGAAGGAGGGGACUUCUGGACUAGGGCGAGAGAGCAGCCAGAGCCCACCUGGAUGCAAGGGAGACUUAGAUGUACUGUGCUGAGGGAGG
Molecule: long non-coding RNA, 689 nt
Organism: Trachemys scripta elegans
Lineage: Eukaryota; Metazoa; Chordata; Testudines; Emydidae
Exons: 3
Source: RefSeq, a predicted model, not a curated record